This 301-nucleotide ribosomal RNA is filed under the name uncultured bacterium. Its description in RNAcentral is "partial 16S ribosomal RNA". It matches the Rfam family "Bacterial small subunit ribosomal RNA", at positions 509 to 807 of the family's 1533-position model. The record is from RNAcentral.
CAGUCGCCGCGGUAACACGUAGGGCGCAAGCGUUGUCCGGAAUUAUUGGGCGUAAAGAGCUCGUAGGCGGUCUGUCGCGUCUGGUGUGAAAUCCCGAGGCUCAACCUCGGGCUUGCAUCGGGUACGGGCAGACUAGAGUGCGGUAGGGGAGACUGGAAUUCCUGGUGUAGCGGUGGAAUGCGCAGAUAUCAGGAGGAACACCGAUGGCGAAGGCAGGUCUCUGGGCCGCAACUGACGCUGAGGAGCGAAAGCAUGGGGAGCGAACAGGAUUAGAUACCCGGGUAGUCCCUGUCUCUUAUAC